This 86-nucleotide transfer RNA is filed under the name Betaproteobacteria bacterium. Its description in RNAcentral is "tRNA-Leu". It matches the Rfam family "tRNA". Rfam says of the family: Transfer RNA (tRNA) molecules are approximately 80 nucleotides in length. Their secondary structure includes four short double-helical elements and three loops (D, anti-codon, and T loops). Lineage: Bacteria; Pseudomonadati; Pseudomonadota; Betaproteobacteria. The record is from RNAcentral.
GCCGAGAUGGCGGAAUUGGUAGACGCGCUAGGUUGAGGGCCUAGUGGGGUGUAAGCCCUGUGGAGGUACGAGUCCUCUUCUCGGCA